This 352-nucleotide ribosomal RNA is filed under the name uncultured bacterium. Its description in RNAcentral is "bacterial SSU rRNA". It matches the Rfam family "Bacterial small subunit ribosomal RNA", at positions 8 to 350 of the family's 1533-position model. The record is from RNAcentral.
AGAGUUUGAUCCUGGCUCAGGAUGAACGCUAGCUACAGGCUUAACACAUGCAAGUCGAGGGGAAACGACAUCGAAAGCUUGCUUUUGAUUGGGCGUCGACCGGUCGCACGGGUGAGUAACGCGUAUCCAACCUGCCCACCACUUGGGGAUAACCUUGCGAAAGUAAGACUAAUACCCAAUGACGUCUCUAGAAGACAUCUGAAGGAGAUUAAAGAUUUAUCGGUGAUGGAUGGGGAUGCGUCUGAUUAGCUUGUUGGCGGGGUAACGGCCACAAGGCGACGAUCAGUAGGGGUUCUGAGAGGAAGGUCCCCCACAUUGGAACUGAGACACGGUCCAAAUCCUACGGGAGGCA